RNAcentral lists this long non-coding RNA (2079 nucleotides) under Sorghum bicolor (sorghum). Its description in RNAcentral is "long non-coding RNA (SBIC_LNC017479)". The record is from RNAcentral. Lineage: Eukaryota; Viridiplantae; Streptophyta; Magnoliopsida; Poales; Poaceae.
UACUUGAAUUGCUUUGAUUGAUUGAUUCAAGUGAUGGACUUAAUAUGAUGAGUAACCAUGAAUCCUUAUUGAAGCCCUUUUCUUUCUACUAAAUGAUCUCAAAUAGUCACUAGAACUAAAACUUCAUUUUCAUCUUGAGUUUGAUCUUGAUCUUCAAUUUGAGUACUAAAAGUAUACACCAAGUACAUUUCACAACCAAAUGCCCUUGUACUCAUUACUUGUCAUGCUUAUAGAUCAAUUCAAAACAAAACUUAGGUGCCUCAAACACUUGUAAACAUGUCUCCAACUUGAGGACCUUUCAAUUGAAGUGACUUUAGAUCAAUCCAAUAAUUGUCACUUUUCUGGCAGAUUCUGUACCCUUUAAAGAAAUAUCCAUAUCUCACAAUGUACAUAUCCAAAUACCACGAAAUUUGGUGGAGAUGUGCUUUACUGAGUCAUCUAGCAUCUGUAAAAAUUUAAUCUUCUUUUGAUAUAUAGACUGCUACCAGAUUUCAAUUCUUCCACCACUGCUACAUGCUGAAAACUGCUGCACUAUAGCUGAUAAGAUCUACUCCAAAACCGAAGUAUCCCUUAUCCCAUUCUCAUGAAAUUUCUACAGCAUCUUCUACGAUAAUUGUACAGCAUGCAUACCAAAUUUCAAGCCAUUUCAAUAAUAUUUGUUUACUCGAACUCAGACUUGAUCACUGCUAGCUCAGAUUUUCAAUAAUAGACAGAUUUCAAGCAAUUGAGCUAUGCUUGUUCAAAUUGAAUCAAACUUAAAAAAGACUUGUUUGAAUACUUUCACAAGACAUAUAUCAAUUCAAUCCACUCACUAAAAGUCAUCUUAUGAACUUAUCCAACUCAAAUCAAUCCAAACUUGAUUACUAACCAUUUAAUCCAUUCAAUCAUCUUAUAGCAAGCAACAUUGCAUAUUUAUCCAUUUCAAUCAACUCAUAUGCACCCAAAUGAAUGUGAUCAACAAAGAUAUACCUUGGUUAGCUCAUGAUCAUCCAAUUUGCAAGCUUCAACUCAUGUAUUUGUGUAACACCCAAAAAUUUGUUUUCAAUCAAUAGGAAUUAAUUUGAUUUAAUUAAGCAUUUUGGUGAGCAUUGAAUCUAGUGAAUAAAAUAGUUUUGGUCAAAAUUAAAAUUUAUUAUGAUUUUAGAAAACAUGGUUGUGCAUUUCAUGCUGGUGCAUAUUUAAUUUUGUGUUGUUGCCUUUUGUUUGAUUUUGUUUGCAUUCAAAACUCUCUUUGAAAAGGCUUGGGAAAAAUAUAUUGGAAAAAGUUAAAAAAAAAAAACAAAACCCCUAGCCGUAGCCAGCCCCCGCGCGCGGCCCAGCACCCCUGCGGCCCAGCUGCGCGGCCAGGGCGCGCAUGCGCACCCCCCUCCCCUCUCUGUCUGACCGCUAGGCCCGUUCCUUCCCCCCCCUCCUUGCCGCUGACAUGCGGGCCCCACUGGGCGGCGCUCGUCCCCCUCCUCUCGCCGUGAGCGAGUAGGACUCGGCCGAGAGAUUUUCCACCGAACCGAAACCGUGGACUCCGGGAUUUGCUUGCCAAAACGUUUGCCCAGCGCCCUAUAAAGCUUCCAAGUAUCCCAGCGGAUUUCUUUUUCCGUUAGACGCGCGUCCGAGGAACCCUAGCCGCCGUUUUCUUCAAGGACGCGAUCUCGCCGAGAGCUCGGAGCUCGCCAACCCUCUCUGCUCCUUCCCAGGCCGAGCAACAACCCCAGACGUGUUCGCGGUGAGCCCCUCUUUCGCCUGAUGUCAUCCAUUUGUUCUCUAGUGCACGGAAUCGCGCGACCCGCGGUCUCCGGCGAGUCCUGGGCGGCGCCCAUGGCGCACCGCCGCGGGAGGCUCUGUCCCGGCGGCCGGUCGGCCGGGCUCGGCCCUGGAAGGAACACCAACCGCCCGAUCGGAGAUCAAGGGCUCAGAAAGAAGCGUACCCAUUCGGCUGAAAUACUUCAUAAAGAGUCCCUGUAUAGUUUUACAAAUUACCCCGCGGUCCUUGGCGUAUUCUGCUAAAUACGUUUCUCCGUUUUAAACACGUAUUUUCGUCGGUUCAAGUGAAAAGGCGCAAUCAGAUAUUUACAGUUUUGCCAU